RNAcentral lists this ribosomal RNA (465 nucleotides) under Vreelandella stevensii. Its description in RNAcentral is "partial 16S ribosomal RNA". It matches the Rfam family "Bacterial small subunit ribosomal RNA", at positions 338 to 795 of the family's 1533-position model. Lineage: Bacteria; Pseudomonadati; Pseudomonadota; Gammaproteobacteria; Oceanospirillales; Halomonadaceae. The record is from RNAcentral.
CCUACGGUCGGCAGCAGUGGGGAAUAUUGGACAAUGGGCGAAAGCCUGAUCCAGCCAUGCCGCGUGUGUGAAGAAGGCCUUCGGGUUGUAAAGCACUUUCAGUGGGGAAGAAAGCCUUGGGGCUAAUACCCUCGAGGAAGGACAUCACCCACAGAAGAAGCACCGGCUAACUCCGUGCCAGCAGCCGCGGUAAUACGGAGGGUGCGAGCGUUAAUCGGAAUUACUGGGCGUAAAGCGCGCGUAGGCGGUCUGAUAAGCCGGUUGUGAAAGCCCCGGGCUCAACCUGGGAACGGCAUCCGGAACUGUCAGGCUAGAGUGCAGGAGAGGAAGGUAGAAUUCCCGGUGUAGCGGUGAAAUGCGUAGAGAUCGGGAGGAAUACCAGUGGCGAAGGCGGCCUUCUGGACUGACACUGACGCUGAGGUGCGAAAGCGUGGGUAGCAAACAGGAUUAGAUACCCCUGUAGUC